GGGAGCCGCCCCGGGACCAACUGCCCUCGUUGCUCACACCAAGGAGGCCUUGGCUAGCUCAGCCGGACCCCAAAGCCUGGACCGGGUCUCCACCUCCCCCCCACCCCCGUGCCCACGCCCUCCAUGCCGGCCUCGCCCGGGAGCAGAUCACUGCUGCCUCGCCCCCGCGGCCCACUCGCCCAGCGGGGCGCCUUAUCCGAGAGCCCUCCGGGCCUCAGCUUUAUCACCCGGCACCACCCGGCGUGGUUCUAACCCCGCGCCUUUGCGCUGCGCUGCACACCAGCUUUUUUUUUCUAAGACAGGAUCUCCCUGAGUUGCUCAGCUGCCCAGCCUGGGCUCGAACCUGCAGUCCAGCGCGGAGGCCUGGCCAACCCCUGACUUCCCGUGGCUGGGCCCAGGGUGUCAGCAGAGUCAGCUUCCAGGGAAUCCGACCUCUGGUCUCCCGCCCGAGUCCAGGGCCUUCCUGAGACUCCAGUCUUCGUGCCGAUGUCCCCAGGGCUGUGAUUGUCUCUGCACAAAACCCACUUGGCUCCCGGCUGGGGGUAGACGCGGAACACAGCCCAUCCACGCGGCCCCAUGGUGCACAGCGGCUGUGUCUCGGGCCAGCGAGGGAGGCGGACGUGGGCCUGGUGGACAUCGCUGGUGUCACAGUCUCCCAUUUCCUAGGAAACCUCUGACCUGCUCCUGCUCUGCCCCGGGGCCUUUGUACCCCCCCCCCCCCACCCCGCGCCCCAUCCCCCCCACCCUUGUCCCCAGCAGGCGUGGGGCCGGACUUUCCGCCCCUGCCCUGUCGCUGUCUGCCUUUCUCAGGGCCGGGAUGCCGGGCACCGAGCCCAGGGCCUUGUGCGCCCCAGGCAGUCACCCUGCGUGGAGCCCCCAGAGCCGCCCCCGGUCCUUUCUGUUUUAUUUUGAGACAGCGGCUUGCUACACUAUGGCCGCUGGGCCCCAGGCAGAGCAGGGUGGGGAAGGACGAGGAAGAGGAGGAAGGCGCGCGGCCGACCGCCAGCCGAGGGCGCCAGAGGGUGGGAGGGGGCGCGCACCUGCUGCUGCUGCUGCUGCUGCUGCUGUGCGGGCGGCGAGCGGGAGCCGCGCUGCCCAGGGCGCCCACGUCCACGGCCGAGCAAGGACAGUGAGGGAGAAGCACGCUCGCCACCCGAGUCCCGCGAGAGCCGCGUGCGGCAGGGCCCGGGCGCACCAGACGCCCGGGGCUCCUACACCGCAAAGACCUGGAUGGAAGGAAGACCGGCAAACACUCUCCGUCUCCUACACCCACCCAUGUUGGGAUGGCAGCAUUUG
RNAcentral lists this long non-coding RNA (1296 nucleotides) under Heterocephalus glaber (naked mole-rat). RNAcentral's name for it is "lncRNA (ENSHGLG00100042802.1)". Lineage: Eukaryota; Metazoa; Chordata; Mammalia; Rodentia; Bathyergidae. The record is from RNAcentral.